Molecule: ribosomal RNA, 254 nt
Filed under: uncultured bacterium
Lineage: Bacteria
Description: partial 16S ribosomal RNA
Rfam family: Bacterial small subunit ribosomal RNA
Source: RNAcentral
UACGUAGGGUGCAAGCGUUGUCCGGAAUUAUUGGGCGUAAAGAGCUCGUAGGCGGUGUGUCGCGUCGGCCGUGAAAACCUGCAGCUUAACUGUGGGCUUGCGGUCGAUACGGGCAUCACUGGAGUUCGGCAGGGGAGACUGGAAUUCCUGGUGUAGCGGUGAAAUGCGCAGAUAUCAGGAGGAACACCGGUGGCGAAGGCGGAUCUCUGGGCCAUUACUGACGCUGAGGAGCGAAAGCGUGGGGAGCGAACAGG